ACGUAAUUUUUUUCUUUUUGGACUAUCAAAUGAUAUUUUUAGGUCCUUUAAGUACAGUGUGAAUAUCGCGAAGUUAAAUCAUGUAAAAGAUUUGGGAAAAGUUUAUUGAAAAGUUCCAGAUAGCUGAUUUAAAAUAAUUAGCUAUUCAAAAAAGGAGUUAAAAAUGUUUAAUAUUUACAAUUAUUAUUGCGAGAUAUAGUAACAAAAGUUGGUAUUUUGUACCAUCGUAAGUACAAAUUCUAAGACUCUUUAAUUGAUCUUUGAAGAGAUGUGAAAGGUAAUUAAUAAUUCGUUUCCAGAAUUGAAAUUUAAAAUAAAAUUACUAAGCUUAUACGUAUAUUUUUCAAGUCAAAAUUUAUUUAUUUAUUUAUAUGUACAGAGAAUUUUAUUGAAAUCAAAAAACCCUGAUAUGCCAUUGUAUAAUGGAUUAAAUAUUUGAAGCAAGUUUACAAGAAAAAUUAUAUAAAGAAAUUUCGAUAAAAGAGUAAAAAGAUGUUGGAAAACUAAUUUUGUAAACAAAAACAAAGACUUUAAAGUUACACAAAGUUUUGCAUAAUUAUUGCGUAGAUAUCUAUUCAUAAUAGGAAACGCAUUCAAAUGAUAUAGUAAAUUUAUUUCUAAUAAUGUAAAUUGCAUAUACAUCCAAAAUCAAAUUGCAUUUGAGAUUUCAAUAUUCCUAAAAAAAUUAAUACUUCAAAUCGACGAGUUAAAUUAUUUGAAUGAAAAGAAUAGAGAAAUUAAGUAUUGUAUAUAACGUCUAAUUAUUUUGCCUCGUAAUCGUCGGUAUAUCGACGUAUAGGAACAUCAAAAUCUACGUUUCUACGCAUUUUAUUGGCCAAUAUAAGACGGUGAACGUAUUCCGUAUCUUUGAUAUCUGCGGACGUAUCAAACGCUCGUUUAAUGUAAUUUUUAUUUGAUACCGGCAAAUAUACCGGAUAUUCAAUAUUAAACGAUAUGAUUAGACUUCCUCUUUUCUUCGGACUUUCCGGCAGCGGCAAUCCUUGGCCAGGAUCGAUUCUGUGAAACGUAAAAUAAUUAUUCAGUGAAUGAAACAAAGAGGAGAAGUAGAGAAAGACUGGAUCAGGGGAGGAGACGGUAGACACGUACGUGAUGACAGACGUUAGUGGUAUUCGAAGGGUUCUGUCGUCGAGCGUGUUGACGGUGACCACUGUUCCGGUCAGUGCCUCUCGCAGAAAGAUAUCGACCGUCAUGUGCAAGUCAGAGCCCUCUCUUCGGAAGGUCUCGUGAGGCCGGUCCUCCGUGAUGAAGAUUACAUCCGCUACGCUGACGUGCUUUGGACUGAGUAAAGAUAUUAUGCGAGCUACUACGAUUAACCCAUUUCUGUCCGAUAUGAAAUGUACGAUGCAUUUUAAAUGUAUCCUUUGCGAUAUCCGAAUCGACAUAAGCUAAAAGGUUAUAACGAACUUUCGUGAAGAAAGAAGAAAUUAGCGAUAAUUCCAUACAAUUCGAUUCUACCUCUGAGUAUAUUUCGAAAGGAAAUGAAAAUCUUCAUUUAACCAGACAGAAAUGUUCGAAUUAUAUCUUGUUUAUGAAAUAAAAACAAAGUUAUUUUUUC
Molecule: long non-coding RNA, 1576 nt
Organism: Bombus huntii
Lineage: Eukaryota; Metazoa; Arthropoda; Insecta; Hymenoptera; Apidae
Exons: 3
Source: RefSeq, a predicted model, not a curated record